GUGUCAGCAGCCGCGGUAAGACGGAGGGAGCAAGCGUUGUUCGGAUUUACUGGGCGUAAAGGGCGUCUAGGCGGGUCUGUCAGUCAGGUGUGAAAUCCCCCGGCUCAACCGGGGAAUUGCACUUGAUACUGCAGGUCUUGAGUACGGAAGAGGAAAGCGGAAUUCCUGGUGUAGCGGUGAAAUGCGUAGAUAUCAGGAAGAACACCGGUGGCGAAGGCGGCUUUCUGGUCCGAUACUGACGCUAAAGCGCGAAAGUGUGGGGAGCAAACAGGAUUAGAUACCCUGGUAGUCCACACCGUAAACGAUGGAUACUAGGUGUCGGGGGUAUCGACCCCCCCGGUGCCGCAGCUAACGCAUUAAGUAUCCCGCCUGGGGAGUACGGUCGCAAGGCUGAAACUCAAAUGAAUUGGCGGGG
Molecule: ribosomal RNA, 415 nt
Filed under: uncultured prokaryote
Description: bacterial SSU rRNA
Rfam family: Bacterial small subunit ribosomal RNA
Source: RNAcentral